UACAGAGGGGGCAAGCGUUGUUCGGAAUUACUGGGCGUAAAGGGCGCGUAGGCGGCCUGCUAAGUCGAACGUGAAAUCCCUGGGCUCAACCCAGGAACUGCGUCCGAUACUGGCUGGCUUGAAUUCGGGAGAGGGAUGCGGAAUUCCAGGUGUAGCGGUGAAAUGCGUAGAUAUCUGGAGGAACACCGGUGGCGAAGGCGGCAUCCUGGACCGAUAUUGACGCUGAGGCGCGAAAGCCAGGGGAGCAAACGGG
This 253-nucleotide ribosomal RNA is filed under the name uncultured bacterium. RNAcentral's name for it is "partial 16S ribosomal RNA". It matches the Rfam family "Bacterial small subunit ribosomal RNA", at positions 524 to 776 of the family's 1533-position model. The record is from RNAcentral.